Molecule: long non-coding RNA, 467 nt
Organism: Malaclemys terrapin pileata
Lineage: Eukaryota; Metazoa; Chordata; Testudines; Emydidae
Exons: 4
Source: RefSeq, a predicted model, not a curated record
GGGGCAGUGCCCAGGAGCCCCGGCCGGAGUGGGAUCUGCCCAAGCAGCUGGCCCAGCACAGGCCCACCUUCAUCAAUGCCAGCAGCUUCAAAUUCUGAGCGUUCCAGAAAGCCAAGAUCCUCCUGUCCUGCAAUCACAGCUACCAGGCCUCACCACCCUUCUUCUCUCUCGGUGUGCUGCAGGCCCACCGGGUCCUGGUGCAGCUCAAGGUCUCUCUCUUCAGCAAUUUCUCUGCUGGGUGCCUGGAGGAGGGAACCAGGGAUUUCUCCCUCUAUCGGCCCUGCGAAAACCAGAGACGCAUCUUCUACUUCCCUCCAAACCAGAAGAACCCACGGGACCCUCGCCCCUGCUGGUGGGGAGUGCGAGGGUCUUAUGGCUCAGCAGCAGAGAGCCCCUUUGGGAAGGUUCCCUCGGGGAAGGCUGGAAAUCAGGGUCCCCGUCACCAGAAUAAAGUCCUCCGGAAGGAC